UGAGGCCUUGUCAUCAACCUUCAUUCUUGUAGGUGCACUUGACUUGGUUUCGGCCAGCAUCAAUUUUAGCGGUGGUAUAAUGUCUUUGGGAAUGUGGCUUUCUUCGGGAAGUGUUAUAGCCCAAGGUCAAUGCUGCCAGCUGGGAUUGAGGACCGCGCUUCGGCUAGGAUGCUGGCAUAAUGAUCUUAAGUGACCCGUCUUGAAACACGGACCAAGGAGUCA
RNAcentral lists this ribosomal RNA (222 nucleotides) under uncultured fungus. RNAcentral describes it as "partial 28S ribosomal RNA". The record is from RNAcentral. Lineage: Eukaryota; Fungi.